This 209-nucleotide unclassified non-coding RNA is filed under the name Hevea brasiliensis (rubber tree). Lineage: Eukaryota; Viridiplantae; Streptophyta; Magnoliopsida; Malpighiales; Euphorbiaceae. The record is from RNAcentral.
AUUGUUGACAUCUGCAACUAUCCGAUCCUGAUCGAAUCCCCCAAAGCAUCAUCCAAAUGUGCUUUGGCAAUCUCCUCUCGAUCCUCCCCUGCUGUUUUUCAAAUGGAACGUCGAUGGCUCCUCUCUGGGUAAGCCUGGUAGAAGUGCUGUAGGUGGUGUUUUAAGGGAUUCAAGAAGCAGCUUCAUUUGUAUCUUUUCUUGCCCCACGG